This is a long non-coding RNA of Gossypium arboreum, 1778 nucleotides long. RefSeq lists it as uncharacterized. The transcript has 5 exons. Lineage: Eukaryota; Viridiplantae; Streptophyta; Magnoliopsida; Malvales; Malvaceae. The record is from RefSeq and is a predicted model, not a curated record.
AAAAAGGAAACCUGCUCCUAAUAAUGCCAGUCGACAACAACAGCUGGCUUCUUAAAGUCAUGUCCCAUUGAAAAUAGCAGAGUUCUCAAAUCUCAUCAAAUCUUUAAUCUUUUGCUACAAGUUUUCAAAGAGAACCGUUUCUUAUUCUUCAAUCUGAUGCUCUCAUCUUUUUCCUCUCCAUUGCUUUUCGAACAUAGCUUGGGGUGCCACCUUCAAGAGCCUCCGUCGUAAAUAGUGAAGCAACGUCUGAGUGGAGUACCGAUUUUGAUGCUAAGAUUUCCCCAUCCACCUCUCAGACUAUCAACCCCGAGGCGGAUCUGAAAUAUUGUCGGUCGAAAGUCGCAUCAAAUUAAAUGGCUGCAUACGUUCUUUGUUCAUCCUGCUUGAGAUCUCUGUUAGAAUCUAAGCCAAAUAAUCCAGAGCCCACAGCAGAAGAGUUGACACUGUUUGCUUGUCCCUCGGUUGAAAACCCAGGUGAGCCAUUCCCAUAUUCCUUGAUUGUUAUUAUUAAGCACCCAAGAAAACUGUAAAUUCCUCCAUACUUCCUCCAUUGUAGGACACUACCAAAAAAUGUGAUUGUUGUCCUUCUUAUUAAGAUGACACCUGGGGCAUCGAGUUUCAACAGCUACUCGUUUAAUCUUAAGAUUAGAAAAAGUAGGGAUAUAGUUCCAGGAGAUUUUCCAGACUAUAAUUUUGAGUUUUGAAGGAAUAUGUCGGUUCCACAGUUUCUUGUAGAAAGUUUUAUUUUUGGCCUGUAAAUUAUUAUUACUAGGAACCAGUGUAGUCUUUUGUAAUAGUUUGUAGGCGCUUCUAGCUGAGAAAUUUCCGGAUGGUUUCCCUCCCCAUACUUGGAAAUUGUCGUGCACUGACCUCGCCAAAGGGAUCUGCAUGAUUUUUUUUUUACAAUAUCUGCAUUAAAGAUGUCGAACCAAACAGAAAUGCGAUCCCCCUUUCCAAUCCUCUAGCAGAUUCCUUUCUCUAGAAGUCCUUUGGCUGACCAAACACUCUUCCAGGUGAGUGAAGUAAUAUCAUCCAACCGAGCUAGAGCUGAAUCUGAGGAAGCUGAGAGCAAUGCUUUAGCUUUAGUUCAAAGAGUUGAGUCUGCGUUUGGUAGUGAAAGGCACAUGUCUGAGGGCUGAAGUGAGGAGGUGAAACAGGCCUUCUUUCAAAUGAUCAAAUAAAUGGUUUACACAGUACUUGAGAACAAACCCUGCUGUACAACGACCUCCCCCACCUGCUCCCCAAUUGAUUCCUAGGGUACCACAGGGUGCUGAGCCUGUUAGAAUUGGUAAGCCUUCGAUAGAUAAAAUUCGUAAGCAUGGGGCAGAAGAAUUUAGAGUUACCACAGAUGAUGAUCCAGAAAGGGCUGAGCUUUGCCUAGAAAAUACUAUCCGGGUUUUUGACAAAUUAUCUUGUACACCUGCUGAAUGUCUGAAAUGUGCGGUAUCUCUACUGAAAGAUACCACUUAUCAUUGGUGGAAUACCAUAACUUCCGUAGUACCGAGAGAGAAUGUUACAUCGGAAUUCUUCCAGGCUAAAUUUAGGAAGAAAUAUGUUAAUCAGAGAUUUAUGGUCCAGAAAAAGAAAGAAUUUUUGGAACUCAAACAAGGAAACAUGACUGUAUCCGAAUAUGUACAAAAUUUUGUUCGAUUGAGCAAGUAUGCUAGGGAAUGGGUUCUAACUGAGGCUGAAAUAUGUAAACGUUUUGAAGAAAUUUUAAAUGAAGACAUCAAAUUGUUGAUUGGAAUUCUAGAGAUAAGGGAAUUUACAGUGUUAGU